GACAGUGAAAACUAACGAUACGGAAAAGCAAACGCACUGCAAUUCCGAGGAGGGCCGACGCAUGGAAACGGAUUCUCGUCGAGACUUGCCCGUUUCCGUUUCCUGUGUGCCAGCGAAGCCCGCCUUGGAGUCCCCGGGUGGAGGAUAGAGGAUGGAGGGCACUAUUCGCCGAUGUGCUCGGCAUUAAUGCACUGACAAUUGCUUGGAUGGCAGCGAGUGAGCCACUUAAAUUAAUUUAAUGUUCCCACUCGCGGUUUCGAGUGCCGGAAUUAUGCGAAUGGAGUGCCGCAGCCAAGUUUAUUUAUUUUGGGGCCAAGGGGAUGAUUAUCGCCGAGAUAAGUUGGUUAACUAGGCAGGGAAAACCCCGUUUAUUCGUUUUCAGAAGACAUGAGUCACUACUCAGUUGGAUUCGUCUGGACCAAUUGCUUACAAGUGUAUUUAAGGACUGCCACUUUUGAAUUUGAUUUGCUGAAGACUGAAGACUGAAGAACUCUUCUGGCUUGAAAAUACAGGAAAGCAUUGUCUAUAACUUUCUAACA
Molecule: long non-coding RNA, 539 nt
Organism: Drosophila biarmipes
Lineage: Eukaryota; Metazoa; Arthropoda; Insecta; Diptera; Drosophilidae
Exons: 2
Source: RefSeq, a predicted model, not a curated record